This 253-nucleotide ribosomal RNA is filed under the name uncultured bacterium. RNAcentral describes it as "partial 16S ribosomal RNA". It matches the Rfam family "Bacterial small subunit ribosomal RNA", at positions 524 to 776 of the family's 1533-position model. The record is from RNAcentral.
UACAGAGGGGGCCAGCGUUAUUCGGAAUUAUUGGGCGUAAAGGGCGCGUAGGCGGCCAUGCGUGUCUCCCGUGAAAUCCCUCGGCUCAACCGAGGACGUGCGGAAGAAACUGCAAGGCGCGAGUCCGGAAGAGGGGGGCGGAAUUCCCAGUGUAGCGGUGAAAUGCGUAGAUAUUGGGAGGAACACCAGUGGCGAAGGCGGUCCCCUGGGCCGGAACUGACGCUGAGGCGCGAAAGCGUGGGUAGCAAACGGG